AGAGUACUUUGCAGAUGUUUUUAAGAGAAGCUGAUAUAGCGGCUCCUUGGUUUGCUUUUUCAGGGAGUCUUAUGAUUCCCAGCUGGGACAAAUUAGGGAAAGAUCUAGAUUUCGCUCGUGAGCAAGGCACCUUAGAGGGUGGCGUUAUACCACUUUGGAAGUUAGUUAGAGGAUGUAUAACAGAUGGUAAAUGCCAGGAAGCUGUGAGUGAGGGUCAAGCUAUUCUUGAGCAAUUGCAUGAGGAAAAAUCUGAAGGAUCAUGUAGUGAAGUGGCAGAGAGUAUUAAAAGUAACAGUAGUGAGAAGGCAAAAGAGCCUGAAGAUAAAAAUAGGAGAAGGCUCUACCCAGACUUGACAGAAUUAAAAACGCCUGAGAACACAAGCGACUCAGAGAGUUCUGAGGACCUUGAUAUAUUGUUAUAACAACUACAUAAGAUAAAAAUGAAAAAGAAGAAAACGGAGACACAGGG
This 469-nucleotide long non-coding RNA is filed under the name Marmota monax (woodchuck). Lineage: Eukaryota; Metazoa; Chordata; Mammalia; Rodentia; Sciuridae. The record is from RNAcentral.